UGGCCGUUAGCUCAGUUGGUUAGAGCAUGGUGCUAGUAAUGCCAAGGUCAUGAGUUCCAUCCCCGUACAGCCCA
RNAcentral lists this transfer RNA (74 nucleotides) under Bos taurus (domestic cattle). It matches the Rfam family "tRNA". From Rfam's summary of the family: Transfer RNA (tRNA) molecules are approximately 80 nucleotides in length. Their secondary structure includes four short double-helical elements and three loops (D, anti-codon, and T loops). The record is from Rfam by way of RNAcentral. RNAcentral also lists the same sequence under 5 other names. Lineage: Eukaryota; Metazoa; Chordata; Mammalia; Artiodactyla; Bovidae.